CCUACGGGAGGCAGCAGUGGGGAAUAUUGCACAAUGGGGGAAACCCUGAUGCAGCGACGCCGCGUGAGUGAAGAAGUAAUUCGGUACGUAAAGCUCUAUCAGCAGGGAAGAAAGACUGACCGUACGGUCAGCAGACGGUACCUGAGUAAGAAGCGCCGGCUAACUACGUGCCAGCAGCCGCGGUAAUACGUAGGGGGCAAGCGGUCUCCGGAUUUACUGGGUGUAAAGGGAGCGUAGACGGUGCGCCAAGUCUGGAGUGAAAUGCCGCAGCUUAACUGCGGAACUGCUUUGGAAACUGGCGAACUAGUGUGCGGGAGUGGUAAUCGUCAUUCCUCUUGUAGCGGUGCACUGCGUCGAUCUUAGGAGGAACCCCGGUGGCGAAGGCGUCUUACUGGACCGUAACUGACGUUGAUGCUCG
This 418-nucleotide ribosomal RNA is filed under the name uncultured bacterium. RNAcentral describes it as "partial 16S ribosomal RNA". It matches the Rfam family "Bacterial small subunit ribosomal RNA", at positions 338 to 755 of the family's 1533-position model. The record is from RNAcentral.